AAAAGAAGGGAAAAAA
Molecule: small RNA, 16 nt
Filed under: Arabidopsis thaliana (thale cress)
Lineage: Eukaryota; Viridiplantae; Streptophyta; Magnoliopsida; Brassicales; Brassicaceae
Description: ATSL136090
Source: RNAcentral